UCAAGCCCUGUGGUAUUUUACGCUAGAGUGCAAAUCUAGAGACGAACCCUAACGGUGUUCCAGGGCU
Molecule: transfer RNA, 67 nt
Filed under: Trachylepis affinis (Senegal mabuya)
Lineage: Eukaryota; Metazoa; Chordata; Lepidosauria; Squamata; Scincidae
Description: tRNA-Cys
Source: RNAcentral